RNAcentral lists this ribosomal RNA (253 nucleotides) under uncultured bacterium. RNAcentral describes it as "partial 16S ribosomal RNA". It matches the Rfam family "Bacterial small subunit ribosomal RNA", at positions 524 to 776 of the family's 1533-position model. The record is from RNAcentral.
UACGGAGGGUGCAAGCGUUGUUCGGAAUCACUGGGCGUAAAGGGCGUGUAGGCGGUCUGGCAAGUCCGAUGUGAAAUCCCGAGGCUUACCCUCGGAAGUGCAUUGGAUACUGGCGGGCUAGAGUCCCGGAGAGGAGGGUGGUAUUCCUGGUGUAGCGGUGAAAUGCGUAGAUAUCAGGAGGAACACCGGUGGCGAAGGCGGCCCUCUGGACGGUGACUGACGCUGAGACGCGAAAGCGUGGGGAGCAAACAGG